RNAcentral lists this long non-coding RNA (5638 nucleotides) under Sorghum bicolor (sorghum). RNAcentral describes it as "long non-coding RNA (SBIC_LNC002265)". Lineage: Eukaryota; Viridiplantae; Streptophyta; Magnoliopsida; Poales; Poaceae. The record is from RNAcentral.
CCCACGCCCCUACCGCCGCCUUGAUCUCGAUCUCAAAUCCAAAACCUUCUUUUCCAAUCCUCAUCGACAGAACCAAAUCGCUCACUCCCUUGUUACUUGCCAUCUCAAGCUAUAAGGAUCAACCUUCGAAGAUGUUAGUAGUGAUAGGACGACGGUGAUGGUGGGGAAAGAUACACAACAGGAGAAGCGACCUCGAUCCACAACAACAUGGCAUCAAUUUGAAGAGAUGCUAGCUUCCUUCUUUGAGGUGGAUCCCCCCCCUUCUUCAUUCGAGUAAAAUUUUGUGAGGUAUUGAAAAAUCCUAUUUCUUUUGUCUUCCCCAGCAUACUAGUUUGGUGCAGAUGGCUUUAUCCCUCUUUCAUGCUUCAGUUUGAUGAAGACUGUGUAUGGUCUUAGACUGUUACAGUAUAGAUAUUUCAUUAAAAUGAAGAGUAAAUAAGAUAAAGUAUGAUUCAUUCAGCACAACCAGUAAUCAUAUCAAGUCUUCCUAGGGAUGAACAAAGUCAUAUGUAGGUAAAUACUAUAAGAGAAAAUCAUGUCAUUUAAUCUAAAGAUAUUGGUACUAACUUCUACCAUGUCAUCAUUUUCCUGUGUCGAAGGUAAGACAGAUCUCACUCAUAUUCUGAGGCCUUUUUUGUUCCAACGAAACUCAUUGAUUUGGUUUCACUGGAACUGUUUUUGGCACCCAAUAAUUUUGGUUUAUUCUGGUGAUCUGAUCUUUGUGGUAGAGCUAGAUACCCACAUGACAAGUCACUCCUUGGGCGCCUCUUGGGUGCCCACUCCCCGAUCCACCUUUUCUCAUCCCCGUCCCUCUUUAUUAAUAUGGAAAUCAGAUUUUUUUUAAUAAAUAGAUGAAAUAGCACAGGUGAGAUACAUAAUGAAUUUAGACUUUGUAGUUUCAUAAUAGAGGCAAGUCACAAUAACUUAGUUGUAAAAGCGAGCGAGUAGGGCAUGCACAGUAAUGAUAUUUAUCAUCUGUUUAGACAGUACAUCAGCAAAAUCCUAGGUGCAUGAACAGUUUGUCUCUUGGCUCAGACAUCAUGUACUAAAGAUAUGUGGGUUAUAUAAAGAUAACUAUAUUAACUAAUAAGAUAAAACACAUAUUGUAUAGUUUAUAUCUGAAAACUUCUCUGUGUGCUUAGGUAUAGGUUGAGAGACAACCAAGAGACUACAGAGUUGUAAUGGUCUUAAAUAGGCAUUGUGUGGUUAUGCCAUGAUAUAUCAAUACAAUUCAGGUGGGGAUUAAAUCCCCCAGGUGACAGUUCAAGAAAAUAGGCAUUGUAUUCUAAUACUUAAAAGGUUUAAUUUUAUUUCAAUGAUGACAAAUAUAUUUUCUGCCCCCCUCUCUGCAGUUGCAUUAUAUUAUAUAAAAGGGCUUAAAUUUAUGAACAAUUAGACUUAAAUGAACUGCUAGUGUUGACUUUGCACGAAUCUAAGUUAUCAAACCCUGGAGAAUAGUUGAAAGAAUUUUCAAACACUUUGUACAGUCGCCCCCAGAAAAAUGUCAAUAUAAAUUUGUUGGAGUCAAAUAAGUUAAUUUUUGAUAUAUCCAUAUUUUUGCCCUAUAUGGCGAGAUUCCACAACAUUUUCAUAGAAUCAGAGGGUUGAUGCACAAGCUUUUUAAUGCAGUUGAACAUUUGAAAAUAACAUGAGUUGAUCCAUAGGCUUUAUAAAGAAAUUGACUAUGUUUGUAUAUGUAGAUAUUUGUUACAAUAAAUAAUUAUUGGUUAUAAUAUGCUUUAAUUUGAAGGCAGUACUUGUGUCCAAAACCAUACUUUUUGUGACAUGAGAAUUACUAUAUCUAACUUGAGAAAAGUUCAAAACAACCACUUGAGAUGACAUAAACAACUCGUCACCCUAUAUACAACAACAUCAUGCUCAGUUCAUUCUUAUACAACACACAACAGGACAGCAUAAAAGCUCCUGCUAGGAACAAAAAAACCAUUGGCACAUAAUGAGUCAAUAAUAUAUAGAGAGCUAAAACAUCAGUUCAGAUCUCAGCAAGUGUAGCCGUAUGUCGUAUAUCACCUUGAAAAUCAUUAAUCAGUUGAAAAUAUUUAUGACGUCCACAGAGGCUAGCGAUUAGUCACCGAAUGGGUGAAAACUGAAUAACCUCAUACAUUUCCCAUUCCACAGUUCAACCAACCACAUGUUAAUGGUGAACUGAAACCAAAUAUCACAGGAGAAUGGCAAAAGCAAUGGAGCACAAAUCGCUAAUGUCAUAGGUGAACCAACCUAGAAAUGAAUGCAGAAUACUUGAAGUUAAAUAUACUCAAGUACUCAAGGAAAAAAGAUUCCAUGAAUAGGAAAUUAGGAAAGAGGCUUUUCAGAAUUUACUGAAGGAAACCUCCAACAUAUCAAUAGCACUAUGUGUUCUCACAUCACACAACAUUAUUAACCAUACUCCCAGAUAACAUAUAAGACAACACUGUUGAUCUCACAUAGUCAUACAACAGCAGAUAACAUUAUUAACCAUGCCAGGUAAGGUUCCACAAGGGUUAUUAUAAGGAGAAAGAAGGCCCAGGAGCCAGGAAAGUCUAAUAAGAAGCAGGAUGGUGGCUUUAUUCCAAGUUUUACGACUUGCAUGAGAUAUAAGGCACCAACAUCCAGGCAUGUGACACUAGCUAGUUCCGGACUUUCUUCCGCUUCGGAACAAACUGCCGAGCCCAUAGAUGCUUCCCUCGUAUCACGAACUUGACCCUUGGGUUGCCACGAAGGAUGUGGAGGAUUGUCUCCUGUGUGAAAAAACAGAUGUGUGCAUAGAGUGGUGGCCUAGGUUCAACUGGCUCCUCCACGCUUAUGAUUUCAACACCUCCAAAGUUCCUGUGAAAUUAAAGAAAUACAGUAAUCAAAAUUAAGGAGCCAACAGACACGUAUCUCAAAAAGUAAAAAGUUCCUUUACUUUUAGUUGCUGGGGAAAUGAUUAGCUGUUUACAUUAUAUAUCUUAAGUUCAGCAUUGCAUUGUACAAUCAUAAGUUGUGCAUAGAAAUUGAUGCAUUUAGCACAUAACAAAAAUUUUAGGUGAGAGUGCAUUUAAAAAAAUUAGGGCUGUUAGUCUGAUGCUGUGUGUAUCUCAUCUGCAUCACAUCUUGUAUCGUUUGAAAAGGUAACAUGUUUAUCACACAAAAGUUUCAUACUUGUGGAACAAUGAAGUUUCUCAUAUAAAUGGUUGUUCUGGCAAUUUCAUCUUUUAAAUGCAUGCUAUGAAAAAAAUAGAAAAGUACCGACUACUGAUAAAACUUGUCCACUGAUUAUGUUACUGUAGAAUGUCACAUAAGACCUCAAAGCUAUAACUUUGUCUUUCUGCCAUGACUUGACACAGAAUUAUAUAAACUGUAUAAAUCCUGUGAUCAGGUACACAAACUAAACAUCAAAUUAAUUUUGCAUCCUUUUUGUCUAGUCAGUGAUCCUCCAAUCAAUCCCUAGUAAACUACAUAACUUGUGAUAUAUGAUGAAUAUAUGUGCUUCACCUUAUAACAUUCUAUAGCAUAGAUACCUAUGUAGUCGAUCUGUGCAUUGGUGUACACCUAACAAGUUGGUUAACAAUAUUUCUGGAAAUAAGGGGCUACAAGUAUCCCUGUGGACCUGUGGUAUGACAUGCAUUGGCGCCUGCGGUUUUACCUACGCGUUAUGUAACAAUGUUCACCUGAAUGAAUCAGUUUUAAAAUUCAAAUUCUAUUGAUCAAUCCGACAUCUCAGUAAAUAUUUCGUUAUCAACUGCAACAUUUUGAAGUCAGCAACCUAAAGUCCACCAUUAUUUACAUAUCUGUAAGUAAUUGCCUGACAAGAAUAGACUUUACCCCUCAAAAAAUUCGAAUAGUUCAUCUGCAGUAAAUGGGUAGCCAUUGGAGAAAGUCACGAAGAGAGUUCUCUCAUCACGGGGAAUACUGGGCUGUCGCUGCACCUGGAUCUGUAGCUGGAUCUGUAGCAAAAUAUGGGAUAGCAAGGUAUUAGGUCUUGUAACCACAGCAAGAUAAUUGAAUAAAUAAUUUGCAGACGUCCAGGAUAGUGAAACUUAGAAAAUUCUUACUGCAUCAGCUUGUGGAUCAUCCCUUAAGUUCAGGCUAUCAAAAAGGGUCGCCAAAGGGUAUGUUGAUAGGCACUGAUCGAUUGGAUUUUCAAUAUCUCUGAGGAUCUGAUUUUUGGGGGAUGGCAUGCUUCUAGAACUUGAGCCUUCUUCAUGACUCGGAUUACCAGUGAAGGAUGCCCUGAUCUUAGACAAAAGAUCCUUCUGCAGGAAUGUUUAGGGAAAGGAAAAAAUAAUUAAAAACAUCUUUCAACAUCUCUCGGACUCACAGCUCUAAGUACACUCUCUUACCGUGCUCAUGAUAGGAGCUUUACCCUUCAUGUUCUGUUGCUGAACUUGUUGAUGAUUGUUUCGGUAGAUACGUUCCUUUGCCUCUGCUAUUUCUAGAAUAUCUUCUAAAGCCUUGUAGCAGAAAUUGUUGAGGUAGAAAAGGAUACCUUCCGUAGCUUCUUUCUGGAAAUAGCCUUCUUCCUCAGAUCUAUGAUUGAAGUGACUAGACUUACGACGUAGAGCUUCAAUAAACAUUUUUCCAGCAACGGCAAUUCCCCUGAGAUUAUAGUUAUCAAAGGAUUCUACGCUUGCAAGGAAAUCAGGAUGACCAUUCCCUUCAAGCCACAACCAAAAGGAAAUUAUCUCCAUGGAGAGGGAACACUCCAUCUGAAGGGAAAAGACCAUCCGGGAGAACAGCUGGCGCACAAUCAUAUGGAUAGAACUAGUAGCAUUCAGUAGAUCCGGCGGCGCCUUGGAAGCCAUGAGAGCCAGUAGUGAAGAAAAAGUGAGGAAAGAGGAAUUCAGAGUUUUGAAACGAAGGGAGGGCUGGCUUGAGUGAAGAAGAAAAUGCAGUCUCGACUAGGCUUAUCAGUUAAGUAUAUGCAUAAAUGUUCACAUUGGGUUGUUUUCCAAUUCAACCCCUGUCCACGUUAGCUAGAUGGCCCACAAUGCAUAGACUGGAGGAUAGGCAGAGGUGACAAAAUAAGCAUACGAAGCAAAAGCUGUACUCAUUAAAGGUAGUCACAUUUUGAGCACACACCUGCCAAAUAACUGAUGAAAAUUUGCAUUAACCACCUUUAGUGAGUUGGAACUUCAAAACAACACAUCGAUUUUCUCUGGGGUGUCUGCUGCAAAUCCAUGCCUACUGAAAUGCCCUUUGAAUAAAUAAGGAAAUUAUACAUGGUAGAAUUGCAAAUGUUCAUAAAAAGACAAAGUUGGUAAACUUUAAUGUUCCUCUAGUCUAUAAUAUAAGAAGGAAAUGGGUUCAGCAAGACUGGUUCUGAUGAAAAGGAUUUGAACGUUAGACAUAAGAUUUAGUAGUAAUCAUUUGAGCUAACUCAUAUUCUAGAAUUAAAUGCAUUUUUAAAAAUAUUUUCUAUAGAUGGAUUCCAAAAUUUAAGUAAAAGAUGGAGUAAAUAUUUUUUUGAGCACAAGAUCUAAUUCCUCCAUCUCAAAAUAUCGAGCAUAUUAGGAUUAAGGAAAGUCUAGCUUGGUAGAAACGAUGGGUUCUUUAUAAAAAACGAUUAUACUCUUAUUUGCAUGUUGCUUUUAGGGCAACUUAUCGGACCCACUUUUGGAACGCCUUGCAGAAAAAGACCGACAAACUUUUUCAAAACUGG